GCCUGAGUGGCUCAGUCGGUUGAGCAUCCGACUUUGGCUCAGGUCAUGAUCUCGCAAUUCAUGAGUUCAAACCCCGUGUCGGGCU
Molecule: transfer RNA, 85 nt
Filed under: Felis catus (domestic cat)
Lineage: Eukaryota; Metazoa; Chordata; Mammalia; Carnivora; Felidae
Rfam family: tRNA
About the family: Transfer RNA (tRNA) molecules are approximately 80 nucleotides in length. Their secondary structure includes four short double-helical elements and three loops (D, anti-codon, and T loops).
Source: Rfam by way of RNAcentral